AUUGAACGCUGGCGGCAUGCCUUACACAUGCAAGUCGAACGGCAGCACGGGUGCUUGCACCUGGUGGCGAGUGGCGAACGGGUGAGUAAUACAUCGGAACGUACCUUAUCGUGGGGGAUAACGCAGCGAACGCUGUGCUAAUACCGCAUACGCCCGGAGGGGGAAAGCGGGGGAUCGAAAGACCUCGCGCCAUUAGAGCGGCCGAUGCCUGAUUAGCUUGUUGGUGGGGUAAAAGCCCACCAAGGCGACGAUCAGUAGCUGGUCUGAGAGGACGAUCAGCCACACUGGGACUGAGACACGGCCCAGACUCCUACGGGAGGCAGCAGUGGGGAAUUUUGGACAAUGGGGGCAACCCUGAUCCAGCAAUGCCGCGUGAGUGAAGAAGGCCUUCGGGUUGUAAAGCUCUUUUGUCAGGGAAGAAACACCGGCUCUAACACAGUCCGGGAAUGACGGUACCUGAAGAAUAAGCACCGGCUAACUACGUGCCAGCAGCCGCCGUAA
Molecule: ribosomal RNA, 501 nt
Filed under: uncultured bacterium
Lineage: Bacteria
Description: partial 16S ribosomal RNA
Rfam family: Bacterial small subunit ribosomal RNA
Source: RNAcentral